CCCCCAUGCUAACAGGCGCCGGAUCACCAUCUCUUGAUUUCGCUUUGCGUCUGUUUCCUUAGUGCCUCACUGCAGCUCUGUCCGCAGGACUUGCUCAGGAAAUGGUUGCUGGGUUGGAUUGGGGUUGAAGACAAGCGGAUUGGCCUGGAAUCCUCAAACCUGACUCCUUGGGGUGCCCACACUUGGGGCCAGCUCUGCAGUGGAGCCACGUGGGACAACGAUGCUGCUUUUUACCCCUGAAUAUCCUUCAGAAGUUUGGAGACAGAGGCUGGGUACCCCAAACCCCCUUCCAAACACCAGUCGGCCCCCAUUCCGUCUAUCUGACAGGCAUCCUGUGACCCAGACACCCCCAGGUUUCAAGAAGCCCUCCUGGAGACGGGGCUCAGGAACAAGCACUCCCCUCCAGAAGAGAAGCUGUCCUAUUCACAGUGGAUCCCCAGCAGUAAUCUGGCAGGGAUUAGACACUCGA
This is a long non-coding RNA of Lagenorhynchus albirostris (white-beaked dolphin), 469 nucleotides long. RefSeq lists it as uncharacterized. The record is from RefSeq and is a predicted model, not a curated record. The transcript has 3 exons. Lineage: Eukaryota; Metazoa; Chordata; Mammalia; Artiodactyla; Delphinidae.